UGCUCUUCUGAUCUAGAGGACGACCUUCCCCGAUAGAGGAGGACCGUUCUUCGGUCAAGGGUAUACGAGUAGCUGCGCUCCCCUGCGAGAACCUCCAAACAAGCUCUCAAGGCCCAUUUGUAGGAGAACGUAGGGUAGUCAGGCUUCCAAGGCUCCAGACACAUCCAA
Lynx canadensis (Canada lynx) is the source of this 168-nucleotide long non-coding RNA. RefSeq lists it as uncharacterized. The record is from RefSeq and is a predicted model, not a curated record. Lineage: Eukaryota; Metazoa; Chordata; Mammalia; Carnivora; Felidae. The transcript has 3 exons.